Molecule: long non-coding RNA, 300 nt
Filed under: Amphimedon queenslandica
Lineage: Eukaryota; Metazoa; Porifera; Demospongiae; Haplosclerida; Niphatidae
Description: uncharacterized LOC109580401, transcript variant X2
Source: RNAcentral
GUGGAACUUACACAUGAGUCUUUUAGCUAACUGAAGGUUUUCUCUGAAACUGUUGCUGUACUGCCACGUUUUUGUCUGUUACCAUACCAGAGUAAACUGUGUAACGGUAUGUGGCCACCUGGAGCUAAAGAGUUCAAGAGUGACAUUAAGAGGUUGAAUGGGUAAAUGGGAUAGUUUAAUAGAUUUGACAACUAUAUUACAUGUAUAUAAUUCCUUAGUGAGGUUUACUUAUUUGAAAGUAAAGAAGUCUGGGCUGUUAUAUUACAAAGGUUUUCCUCUCUUUUUUCCUCUAUUCGUCCC